GUUAUUUAUUUUAUUUUUAAGUUUUGUGAUUGACGUUUACACCAAAUUCAAACAAAUAAUGCGGAUAAGUGUAAAAUAAACCGAAAGUUGAUUUUAUAAUAAUCAUAAAGAAUCGGUAGAUAUGCUAAGGAUAAUUUAUCAUACGUAUAACGAAGAAGCAGCUCGAUGGACAGCUUUAAUAAUUUUUUUAACCACAACGUUUGUAUCGAUUACUUUUAGUUUCCUCUCUGGAGUGUUCCUAUUAAUUUGCUAUGUCAGUGGAUACAUAAUCUGUUGGGUUUUUCUUAAAAACCAAUCUAAUAUUUUCUCUUUUAUGAAACAGUUCAGCAGUCUUUAUAAAGCUGUUCCACAAGAAAAUAUAACUAUAAAAGCAUGUAGUGUGUGUAGCAAUGAUUCAUGUAAACGACACCAUCAUCGCUCAAAUCCCUUAACAAAUUUAUAUCCUUCUGCAGAAUUAAAUACAGCAAUAGAAGAAUUUUAUAACAAAAUACUAGAUGUUUAUGUUUUGUCAUGGUACAAAACAUUUUCCAAUGAUAUAUCAUUCCCAAAUGAAUUAAGAGUUUGUUUGAGGCAUACAACAGCCACCUUUUUAACAAAAUUGCUGGAAUUUGAUGUAACAAAAGUAUUAACUACCAAGCUUAUUCCUUGUGCCAUUAAGCAUGUAGAUGACUAUAUGAGUAUUGAGCAAAUUGCAAAAAUAAGGAAUUCCCAAAUUAAUGAGAUUGCAGUUGACUACUUUGGUAAAAAGUUGCAUAUAGCUGCCACUAAUAGACAAAACGAAUUAAAUUAUGUAAGAAGUUUAACUUCAUGGUUAUUACCACACCUAGUACAUGAAGAUUGUUUAAAUUGCAACCUUCUUUUCAUCCACUCCUAAAUGCGAAAGUACAUCAGACAACAGUUGUACAACAACUCUUCAACAUCCAUUUUUUUGUUUUAAAUUUGUGUCUAUAAACAUGUCUUUUGGUGCAGAAACUUAAUGGAAAAUGAAAAUGAGUUUUGUCAUUAUAAGAGAAGCCAACAACAUACAUAAAUCAUUUAGAAUGACAAUG
Molecule: long non-coding RNA, 1049 nt
Organism: Agrilus planipennis (emerald ash borer)
Lineage: Eukaryota; Metazoa; Arthropoda; Insecta; Coleoptera; Buprestidae
Exons: 4
Source: RefSeq, a predicted model, not a curated record